Molecule: long non-coding RNA, 602 nt
Filed under: Limulus polyphemus (Atlantic horseshoe crab)
Lineage: Eukaryota; Metazoa; Arthropoda; Merostomata; Xiphosura; Limulidae
Description: uncharacterized LOC106466250, transcript variant X1
Source: RNAcentral
GAUGAUGAGAAUGAUUUUAAGAAUUAUGAUCAGGAUUAUCAAAAGUUGAUGUGAUUCCUCAUCAUGAUAAAAUAAUAAUAAUAUUUAACUUGAGAUACUAAUUUCUGAACUUUGGAGAAUAAGCUUUAAGUUACCAUGACAAAUUGUAUUACUUAAUGAAAAUAUUUUGUGUUCAGUGAUUUGAUUAAACAUCAUGAUCAAGUAAAUAUUUGGCGAGAGAUGCGCUACUGCUUUACAUCUUGUAAGUUGUAACUUACACUACAGUUACAAUCCAACUUGGAGAAAACUAAAAGGUAUUGACAACAGACUCAUGAGACUAUUCAGAGGACAAUAGUGCCAAAUAAUAUGGAACUGAGAAAAACAACAACAUAUUCUUCCAAAAAAUUUGAAGAAAGUCCUUGAAAUGGCAAUCUUGUAAAAUUGGUGCUGAUAUUGUUCACAAAGAACCGUCAAGAAAAGGGAUGAAAAAGAGAGAGGGCUUAGCAGUUAGUCAUCAGGGUGAGAAAUCCUAAUGCUAAUCUCUGAUCGUUGAAAAAUAUGAGUAAGAAGUGGACCUUGUACAUAGUGUGCUGUUGGUGAAAUAAUAAAAAUAUUUGUAAUUA